RNAcentral lists this ribosomal RNA (308 nucleotides) under uncultured eukaryote. Its description in RNAcentral is "partial 18S ribosomal RNA". It matches the Rfam family "Eukaryotic small subunit ribosomal RNA", at positions 1470 to 1796 of the family's 1831-position model. The record is from RNAcentral.
CCCUUAGAUGUCCUGGGCCGCGCGCGCGCUACAAUGACUCACUCAGAAAGUUUUUCCUGAUCCGGAAGGAUCCGGGUAAUCUUCAUAGCAUGAGUCGUGUUAGGGAUCGAUCUUUGCAAUUAUAGAUCUUGAACGAGGAAUGCCUAGUAAGUGCAGCUCAUCAGGCUGUACUGAUUACGUCCCUGCCCUUUGUACACACCGCCCGUCGCUCCUACCGAUUGAGUGGUCCGGUGAACCUUCUGGAUUAAGCAGCAAUGCUUGAGAAGUUAGGUAAACCUUAUCACUUAGAGGAAGGAGAAGUCGUAACA